Long non-coding RNA from Dermacentor albipictus, 814 nucleotides. RefSeq lists it as uncharacterized. NCBI's taxonomy places the organism in Eukaryota, Metazoa, Arthropoda, Arachnida, Ixodida, Ixodidae. The record is from RefSeq and is a predicted model, not a curated record.
CUUGCUUGAAAAACAAAUGCACUUGGCAGUAAGAACUUAUCGCUCCUUUUGAGAAGGCAUACUUCAGACCAUAGGAAGGCAAUGAAGAUUCCCCUAUCUUCUUUUCUUACCUACUAUGUUGUUUGCUUCCUACCAACGGAUGGUAACGCAGCCUUAUCGUUCAAAGGCUGCUUAUCAUUGCCAACUGAAGAUGGCGAUUGCGGAAAUCACAUCGAAGAGUGGUAUUACGAUAAAAGAGAAGGAGAGUGUGUGAAUUUUAUGUAUGGAGAUUGUCCACAGAACAAAAACAUGUUUGCCAGCAAGCAGGAAUGUGAAGAUGCUUGCAAGGGCGCAGCAAAAGGACAUCAGGUGCCAGAGCCUGGUGGGUGGGGUACUACGGGAUCCAAAGGACAACCUAAACCGCCGAAACCGCCGAAACCGCCGAAACCUUCGCGUCCGAGCAAGCCAACAACCGGUGGCGGAAUGAAGCAUCCCGGAAAAGGAGGUAAUAAAAAAUUGCAAAAGCGAAAAUGCUUUUCCAAACCACGAAAAGGAAAGUGCGAUAGUGGAGACACCUUGUGGUAUUAUAACGCACCGUUUUAUCAGUGCGACAUAAUCCGCCAAGGAUUCUGUCCGGGGAAUGCACCGUUUUUUGAAAGCUGUGAAGAAUGCGCUGAAACAUGCAACAAGCGAAGCCUGAGGAGGUGCAACAUGGUGUGAAUCUCCACAUAUGAGAGAACAAAAAGAAGCUGCACUUUUGAUGCACCGUAAAAACUUCAUUUGAUUUAGAAGUACACGACAAUAAAUUAAACAAUGACGUGACGCUCACAACUAA